Molecule: unclassified non-coding RNA, 400 nt
Filed under: uncultured bacterium
Lineage: Bacteria
Description: contains 16S-23S intergenic spacer region
Source: RNAcentral
GGCGCCUCUGUCCGCGGACGAACCUCUACACGCGCACGGUCGAGUCGAUCGACCUGAAGAACAAGGUCGUCACCGUGAGCUCAGGGUUCCGCCCGAGACCGCUGACGCUCGAGUACGACCAUCUCGUCAUCGCGCUCGGGAACAUGACGAGCUUCUCGGGCCAGCCCGGCCUGGCCGAGAACGCGCUGCCGUUCAAGUACCUCGGAGACGCGCUCGUCCUGCGCAACCACAUCAUCCACGCGCUCGAAGAGGCGGAUAUCGAGAGCGAUCCUGACGUCCGCCGUGCGCUCCUGACGUUCGUGGUCGCGGGCGGCGGAUUCUCCGGCGUCGAGGCGAUCGCCGAGCUGAACGACUUCGUCCGCGAGGGCGCGAAGAGCUUCCGCAACAUCGACCGCAACGA